This 465-nucleotide ribosomal RNA is filed under the name Vreelandella stevensii. RNAcentral describes it as "partial 16S ribosomal RNA". It matches the Rfam family "Bacterial small subunit ribosomal RNA", at positions 338 to 795 of the family's 1533-position model. The record is from RNAcentral. Lineage: Bacteria; Pseudomonadati; Pseudomonadota; Gammaproteobacteria; Oceanospirillales; Halomonadaceae.
CCUACGGGUGGCUGCAGUGGGGAAUAUUGGACAAUGGGCGAAAGCCUGAUCCAGCCAUGCCGCGUGUGUGAAGAAGGCCUUCGGGUUGUAAAGCACUUUCAGUGGGGAAGAAAGCCUUGAGGCUAAUACCCUCGAGGAAGGACAUCACCCACAGAAGAAGCACCGGCUAACUCCGUGCCAGCAGCCGCGGUAAUACGGAGGGUGCGAGCGUUAAUCGGAAUUACUGGGCGUAAAGCGCGCGUAGGCGGUCUGAUAAGCCGGUUGUGAAAGCCCCGGGCUCAACCUGGGAACGGCAUCCGGACCUGUCAGGCUAGAGUGCAGGAGAGGAAGGUAGAAUUCCCGGUGUAGCGGUGAAAUGCGUAGAGAUCGGGAGGAAUACCAGUGGCGAAGGCGGCCUUCUGGACUGACACUGACGCUGAGGUGCGAAAGCGUGGGUAGCAAACAGGAUUAGAUACCCCGGUAGUC